AUUAAUAAUACAGUGUUUCAAGUAGCCUUCUUUUUUGCAGAAACUUUCUUUUUGAACUAACGGAAGUGGAAGUAAACAGUAUAAGACUCAUCCCUGAAGCUAUGCAAUGGCGAUAGAACAAAAUUCCUGGUCUCCCCCUUUGCAACAAAGCUGAUGUCAUGGUACUUGCUAAGCCCUUGAUUCGGGGAAAAGCUUGCUCCUUUAUCGAAUUCCUGACUCGAAUUCCCACAGCUGAGCUUCAGGAUUGCUCCUGAACCAUAACCAACACCACUGAACACAAAGCAGCCCUUCUGGCUAACCGACUCGAACGACACGCUCCCUUCCUUCCCAUCCAAUCCUGACACCAC
Molecule: long non-coding RNA, 347 nt
Filed under: Linum usitatissimum (flax)
Lineage: Eukaryota; Viridiplantae; Streptophyta; Magnoliopsida; Malpighiales; Linaceae
Description: long non-coding RNA (LUSI_LNC001193)
Source: RNAcentral